RNAcentral lists this ribosomal RNA (807 nucleotides) under uncultured bacterium. RNAcentral's name for it is "bacterial SSU rRNA". It matches the Rfam family "Bacterial small subunit ribosomal RNA", at positions 8 to 796 of the family's 1533-position model. The record is from RNAcentral.
AGAGUUUGAUCAUGGCUCAGAACGAACGCUGGCGGCAGGCCUAACACAUGCAAGUCGAGCGCCCCCUUCAGAGGACAAAGUGGUUUCGGUUUUGGGAGGAAACUUCCGAGGCUGGGAUUGAUUUUGACUUCUGAUGGGGGGAGCGGCGGACGGGUGAGUAACGCGUGGGAAUUUUCCUCAAGGUACGGAACAACUCAGGGAAACUUGGGCUAAUACCGUAUGAUGUCUAGCGACCAAAGAUUUAUCGCCUUGGGAUAAGCCCGCGUCAGAUUAGGUAGUUGGUGGGGUAACGGCCUACCAAGCCUGCGAUCUGUAGCUGGUCUGAGAGGACGAUCAGCCACACUGGGACUGAGACACGGCCCAGACUCCUACGGGAGGCAGCAGUGGGGAAUCUUGCGCAAUGGGCGAAAGCCUGACGCAGCCAUGCCGCGUGAAUGAUGAAGGUCUUAGGAUUGUAAAGUUCUUUCGCCCGUGACGAUGAUGACGGUAACGGGAGAAGAAGCCCCGGCUAACUUCGUGCCAGCAGCCGCGGUAAUACGAAGGGGGCUAGCGUUGUUCGGAAUUACUGGGCGUAAAGCGCGCGUAGGCGGUUUUGCAAGCCAGAGGUGAAAUGCCUGAGCUUAACUUAGGAAUUGCCUUUGGGACUGCGAGGCUUUGAGGACGAGAGAGGAGUGGAAUUCCCAGUGUAGAGGUGAAAUUCGUAGAUAUUGGGAAGAACACCGGUGGCGAAGGCGGCUCACUGGCUCGUUUCUGNNNCUGUANNNCGAAAGCGUGGGGAUCAAACAGGAUUAGAUACCCUAGUAGUCC